This 67-nucleotide transfer RNA is filed under the name Heterosmylus sp. YW-2016. RNAcentral's name for it is "tRNA-Ser". Lineage: Eukaryota; Metazoa; Arthropoda; Insecta; Neuroptera; Osmylidae. RNAcentral also lists the same sequence under 1 other name. The record is from RNAcentral.
GAUUAAUGAACUUGAAUAAGUAUAUGUUUUGAAAACAUAAUAUAGAAAUAUAAAUUUCUAUUAAUCU